AGGGUUGUGGCUCAGUGGUAGAGCACUCACCUAGUAUGUGUGAGACGCUGGGUUCAAUCCUCAGCACCACGU
This is a non-coding RNA of Ictidomys tridecemlineatus (thirteen-lined ground squirrel), 72 nucleotides long. The record is from Rfam. Lineage: Eukaryota; Metazoa; Chordata; Mammalia; Rodentia; Sciuridae.